Molecule: ribosomal RNA, 326 nt
Filed under: uncultured eukaryote
Lineage: Eukaryota
Description: partial 18S ribosomal RNA
Rfam family: Eukaryotic small subunit ribosomal RNA
Source: RNAcentral
CCCUUAGAUGUUCUGGGCCGCACGCGCGCUACACUGAUGCAUUCAACGAGUCCAACCUUGACCGAGAGGUCCGGGUAAUCUUUGAAACUGCAUCGUGAUGGGGCUAGAUUAUUGCAAUUAUUAAUCUUCAACGAGGAAUGCCUAGUAAGCGUGAUUCAUCAAAUCGCGUUGAUUACGUCCCUGCCCUUUGUACACACCGCCCGUCGCCCCUACCGAUUGAGUGUGUUGGUGAGGAGUUUGGAUUGGCCUCGGAAGGUGGUUCGCCACCGUCCGUAGCUGAGAAGUUCUCCAAACCGCCCCACUUAGAGGAAGGAGAAGUCGUAACA